RNAcentral lists this non-coding RNA (21 nucleotides) under Caenorhabditis elegans. The record is from RNAcentral. Lineage: Eukaryota; Metazoa; Nematoda; Chromadorea; Rhabditida; Rhabditidae.
UGCUAAUUGUGAACUCAAUUC